CUACCGUUGAAAAGUUAGCGGAUGACCUGUGGAUCGGAGUGAAAGGCUAAUCAAGCUCGGAGAUAGCUGGUUCUCCUCGAAAGCUAUUUAGGUAGCGCCUCGUGUAUCACUGCUGGGGGUAGAGCACUGUUUCGGCUAGGGGGUCAUCCCGACUUACCAACCCGAUGCAAACUCCGAAUACCAGCAAGUGUCAGCACGGGAGACACACGGCGGGUGCUAACGUCCGUCGUGAAAAGGGAAACAACCCAGACCGUCAGCUAAGGUCCCAAAAUCCUGGUUAAGUGGGAAACGAUGUGGGAAGGCUUAGACAGCUAGGAGGUUGGCUUAGAAGCAGCCACCCUUUAAAGAAAGCGUAAUAGCUCACUAGUCGAGUCGGCCUGCGC
Molecule: ribosomal RNA, 383 nt
Filed under: Klebsiella pneumoniae
Lineage: Bacteria; Pseudomonadati; Pseudomonadota; Gammaproteobacteria; Enterobacterales; Enterobacteriaceae
Description: partial 23S ribosomal RNA
Rfam family: Bacterial large subunit ribosomal RNA
Source: RNAcentral